GACAUGUUUAAUAGUGCACUGCAAUGCUAUGGAACAGUUUAAAACAGGAAGCCAUGAAGAAUACUAUAACCAGUUGAAACUGUAAGGAAGAAGGAAAUCCCAGUGGUAUAACUGUAAAAUGUAGAAACAGUUUCUGUUACUUCAUCAAGUCACAAGCGAGAUGCCCUCAGUGAAUCUUUUGACGCCCACAGAUGGAUAUAAAGUUGAAUCACGGGCUGAUGUUGGCAUUAAGAGAGCACUAGUAAGUCAUGGCUGAAGAAGAGAAACUUGCAGUAGACAGCGCUAAGAGUGCGCAAGGCAAUGUCAAUGUGGGAUCCUUGGAAUCGGGGCCCAGUGAUCUGAGGGGGGCUGAAAUGACAGAGUUGGUGAGAAAUCAAGAGCCUCACUCAGAAGAAAAUAUUGAGGAUUCCAUGAGAGGAAGGAAACAGUGAGGAAGAGUCCAUUGGAAGGCGUGAGGAGAAGAUCAAGUUGAUGAGAUCCUGGCGGCUGCAUAAUGUACUGCAGCAUCUCACUGGAAGAAGACAGAACAACCUGAUUUUCAAGACAUAAAUGGCCAGCGUAUGGGAUACACUAGAAACGUGUGAAAUGACCAUGAAUGGGAGACUCUGAAGGCUGCCACUGGAGUCCUCGAUACACCACGUGUGGCUCUCCUGUACCAAUGCAGAACCAGUUGUAGGCUGCUAGCCGGGAAAUUGGCUGAGUCCCUUCAGCUCCAAUCUCUCCUGGAACAGAUGGAGGAGCCUCAGUACCAGCUGGGUCCCUUCCAAUGCCAUUUGAAAUGUAGUACAAGACAAUUAUAACCCGCCCCGUGCCUGCAUAGCAGAACUGUGACUGUGUUGCUUGCUUUGGGACAGGAUCUAACCCAGAAUAAAUGACAAAAGACAAGUUGACUCCGUGCUAAAUGUGCUGGUGAACUCACUCUUCUGAAAAAACUUAAAGCUUGUGUGUAAAUGUGGCUAUUAAUAGUCUGGGAAAGAUCUGAUGGCAAUUGUUCAUCAUAGUGCAUUAGAAGCCUGGUUUCAGACUAUUGUCUCAUCAGCCUGUGAAAAUGGACCCCAGCUUUGGAGACAUGAUGAUUAAUGCACAGAAACGAUGUUCAAGAUUAUAUUAUGUCAUGAAUACAAGUAUGUUUAAUCAAAAUAAUAUCUGGUCACUGCCAGAGCCAUAGGUUUAGCAGGAUUCUCUGCCUUACGUUAUAAAAUAAAAUGGGAAUAUUUAUUUGAUUUUCAUUUAAAACUUAAAAUAUGACUAUUUGGAAAUACUGAGUGGAAUUUUCUCUUC
Mauremys reevesii (Reeves's turtle) is the source of this 1281-nucleotide long non-coding RNA. RefSeq lists it as uncharacterized. The record is from RefSeq and is a predicted model, not a curated record. Lineage: Eukaryota; Metazoa; Chordata; Testudines; Geoemydidae. The transcript has 7 exons.